CAGGGUUACAGGGUUACAGGGCUACAUGGCUACAGGGCUACAGGGUUACAGGGCUACAGGGUUACAGGGCUACAGGGUUACAGGGCUACAGGGUUACAGGGCUACAGGGGUACAGGGCUACAGGGGUACAGGGCUACAGGGGUACAGGGCUACAGGGCUACAGGGUUACAGGGUUACAUGGCUACAGGGCUACAGGGUUACAGGGUUACAGGGCAACAGGUCUACAUGGCUACAGGGCUACAGGGUUACAGGGCUACAGGGUUACAGGGUUACAGGGUUACAUGGCUACAGGGUUACAUGGUUACAGGGUUACAGGGCUACAUGGUUACAUGGCUACAGGGUUACAGGGUUACAGGGUUACAUGGCUACAGGGUUACAGGGCUACAGGGUUACAGGGUUACAUGGCUACAGGGCUACAUGGCUACAGGGCUACAGGGCUACAGGGUUACAGGACUACAGGGUUACAGGGCUACAGGGCUAGAGGGUUACAGGGCUACAGGGUUACAGGGUUACAUGGCUACAGGGCUACAGAGCUACAGGGUUACAGGGUUACAUGGCUACAGGGCUACAGGGUUACAGGGUUACAGGGCUACAGGGCUACAUGGCUACAGGGCUACAGGGCUACAGGGUUACAGGGCUACAGGGAUACAUGGCUACAGGGUUACAGGGCUACAGGGCUGCAGGGCUACAGGUUUACAGAGCUACAUGGCUACAUGGCUACAGGGUUACAGAGCUACAGGGCUACAGGGUUACAGGGCUACAGGGCUACAGGGCUGCAGGGCUACAGGGUUACAUGGCAACAGGGCUACAGGGUUACAUGGCUACAGGGCUACAGGGUUACAUGGCAACAGGGCUACAGGGUUACAUGGCAACAGGGCUACAGGGUUACAUGGCAACAGGGCUACAGGGUUACAUGGCUACAGGGCUACAGGGCUACAGGGUUACAUGGCAACAGGGCUACAGGGCUACAGGGUUACAUGGCAACAGGGCUACAGGGCUACAGGGUUACAUGGCAACAGG
This is a long non-coding RNA of Oncorhynchus tshawytscha (Chinook salmon), 1020 nucleotides long. Lineage: Eukaryota; Metazoa; Chordata; Actinopteri; Salmoniformes; Salmonidae. The record is from Ensembl.